Molecule: ribosomal RNA, 119 nt
Filed under: Olea europaea subsp. europaea
Lineage: Eukaryota; Viridiplantae; Streptophyta; Magnoliopsida; Lamiales; Oleaceae
Source: RNAcentral
GGGUGCGACCAUACCGGCACUAAAGCACUGGAUCCCAUCAGAACUCCGAAGUUAAGCGUGUUUGGGCGAGAGUAGUACUAGGAUGGGUGACCCCCUGGGAAGUCCUCGUAUUACACCCC